UAGUCUGCAACCCGACCUACACGAAGCCGGAAUCGCUAGUAAUCGCGAAUCAGAAUGUCGCGGUGAAUACGUUCCCGGGUCUUGUACACACCGCCCGUCACACCAUGGGAGUCAGCAACGCCCGAAGUCAGUGACCUAACCGAAAGGGAGGAGCUGCCGAAGGCGGGGCCGGUAACUGGGGGUGAAGUCGUAACAAGGUACC
Molecule: ribosomal RNA, 202 nt
Filed under: uncultured bacterium
Lineage: Bacteria
Description: partial 16S ribosomal RNA
Rfam family: Bacterial small subunit ribosomal RNA
Source: RNAcentral